RNAcentral lists this ribosomal RNA (1242 nucleotides) under metagenome. Its description in RNAcentral is "bacterial LSU rRNA". It matches the Rfam family "Bacterial large subunit ribosomal RNA", at positions 1564 to 2815 of the family's 2925-position model. The record is from RNAcentral.
UGAAUACGAGAUGCUACGGCGUCGAAGCAGUGUAUGUCAGACUUCCAAGAAAAGCUCGCAAUGUCAUAAAUAAAGAAUGCCUGUACCAUAACCGACACAGGUGGGUAGGUAGAGUAUACUAAGGGGCGCGAGAUAACUCUCUCUAAGGAACUCGGCAAAAUAACUCCGUAACUUCGGGAGAAGGAGUGCCUUCUUUAAGAAGGUUGCAAUAACAAGAUCCAAGCAACUGUUUAUCAAAACCACAGGUCUCCGCUAAGUCGUAAGACGAUGUAUGGGGGCUGACGCCUGCCCAGUGCCAGAAGGUUAAAGAAGCUGGUUAGCAAUAGCGAAGCUGGUGACUGAAGCCCUGGUGAACGGCGGCCGUAACGAUAACGGUCCUAAGGUAGCGAAAUUCCUUGUCGGGUAAGUUCCGACCCGCACGAAAGGCGUAAUGAUUUGGAUACUGUCUCGGAGAGGGACUCGGUGAAAUAGACUUGUCUGUGAAGAUGCGGACUACCUGCACCAGGACAGAAAGACCCUAUGAAGCUUUACUGUAACCUGAAAUUGAAAUUGGACUUUAUUUGCGCAGUAUAGGUGGGAGGCGUUGAAAGUAAUCUUGCGGGAUUAGUGGAGCCAUCAGUGAGAUACCACUCCUAUAAUGUUAGAUUUCUAACUUUGGAUCAUGAUCUGGUCAAAGAACAGUUUCAGGCGGGCAGUUUGACUGGGGCGGUCGCCUCCCAAAUGGUAACGGAGGCGUACAAAGGUUUCCUCUGAACGGGUAGAAAUCGUAUCUAGAGUGUAAAGGCAUAAGGAAGCUUGACUGUGAGACCUACAAGUCGAGCAGGGACGAAAGUCGGUCUUAGUGAUCUGGCGGUGCUGAGUGGAAAGGCCGUCACUCAACGGAUAAAAGUUACUCUAGGAUAACAGGCUGAUCUCCCCCAAGAGUUCACAUCGACGGGGAGGUUUGGCACCUCGAUGUCGGCUCAUCGCAUCCUGGGGCGGUAGUACGUCCCAAGGGUUGGGCUGUUCGCCCAUGAAAGCGGUACGCGAGCUGGGUUCAGAACGUCGUGAGACAGUUCGGUCCAUAUCCGGUGUAGGCGUUAGAAUAUUGAGAGGAGCCUUCUCUAGUACGAGAGGACCGAGAAGGACAUACCUCUGGUGUACCAGUUAUCGUGCCAACGGUAAACGCUGGGUAGCUAUGUAUGGAGAGGAUAACCGCUGAAAGCAUCUAAGUGGGAAGCCCACCUCAAGAUGAGUAUUCUC